Long non-coding RNA from Zalophus californianus (California sea lion), 317 nucleotides. RefSeq lists it as uncharacterized. Lineage: Eukaryota; Metazoa; Chordata; Mammalia; Carnivora; Otariidae. The transcript has 3 exons. The record is from RefSeq and is a predicted model, not a curated record.
CGCGCGCACUUCCCCGGAGAGAGUUCACAGGCUCCCGGCAAUCCGGACCCCGCGGGCGGGGACGAGGAGAAGGGGUACUCACCUCCCCGCAGCCCGGACUGCCUCGGGAUCUGAAGUUCAAGCGUCUGUCCCAGCCGCGGACCCGUGCUUCUGUAUUUAGGUGGAAAGAGUUCUGGUGGUGGAUUUGGUGCAAAAAGGAUUUGGAGCAUGAUCUGAAGCAUAUCGUGGCUUGAAGAGGAUGUCAGUUAAUAUACACGUUUGAAUACAAAUCAAAUGUAAACCUUAACUUCAUCUGGAGCUGGAGUCCAGAAGACAAA